UGGAGGAGCUCAAGAGACAGAAUGCAGACCAACCAAAGGUGGCGUUCUCACUUGGUCUCAGUGACAACGGACUAAUUGGACCCUUCAAUACUGACAUCACACUUAAGUUCAGUAAAGUCAUCACCAACUUUGGUCAGGUCUACAGUCCAACUACAGGUCUCUUCACAGCCCCAGUCAGAGGAGCCUACUACUUCUCAUUCACUACACUGGAUGGCCGGAAUAAUGUACGGAGGGAAGUUCAUCUCUAUCACA
Scomber japonicus (chub mackerel) is the source of this 252-nucleotide long non-coding RNA. RefSeq lists it as uncharacterized. The transcript has 3 exons. The record is from RefSeq and is a predicted model, not a curated record. Lineage: Eukaryota; Metazoa; Chordata; Actinopteri; Scombriformes; Scombridae.